GUGAAUCAUCGAAUCUUUGAACGCAAAUUGCACUCUCCUCGGAGAGUAUGACUGUUUGAGGGUCAGCCUAUAAAAAAUCGACAUCGUUGCUGUUUCGCGGUGGCGUUCGUCGGAAAUUGGGUCUUCUUAAAUCCUUUUGGUUUUUAAGCGCCUUAAAAUUUUCUUUUUGGUUCUAUGAACGUUUCUAAGAUUUAUUUCUUUACACGUUUAAGGUAUCGAUUUUUAUUAGACGUGACCUUCAUAUCGGAUCGCGUCCAUAAUCUUUAUUUAAC
RNAcentral lists this unclassified non-coding RNA (272 nucleotides) under Rhizophagus prolifer. Its description in RNAcentral is "partial contains 5.8S ribosomal RNA and internal transcribed spacer 2". The stretch from base 1 to 65 matches the Rfam family "5.8S ribosomal RNA", at positions 84 to 154 of the family's 154-position model. Lineage: Eukaryota; Fungi; Glomeromycota; Glomeromycetes; Glomerales; Glomeraceae. The record is from RNAcentral.